UACGGGAGGCAGCAGUGAGGAAUAUUGGUCAAUGGACGCAGUCUGAACCACCAUGCCGCGUGCAGAUGAAUGCCCUAUGGAUGUAAACUGCUUCUACAGAAGAAACUUCCUGAUGUUCAGGAACUGACGGUAUUGUAGGAAAAUAANGCCCAUCGGCUAACUCCGUGCCCCAGCAGCCGCGGUAAUACGGAGGAUGCAAGCGUUAUCCGGAUUCAUUGGGUUUAAAGGGUGCGUAGGCGGGGUAGUAAGUCAGUGGUGAAAGCCUGCGGCUUAACCGUAGAAUUGGCCAUUGAUACUGGCUAAUUCUUGAAGUGCAGUUGAGGGUAGGCGGAAUGUGUAAUGUAGGCCCGGUGAACAUGCUUUAGGUAUUACACCAGAACCACCGGAUUUUGCGUAGGCCAGCUUACUANAACUGUAACUGACGCUGAGGCACGAAAGCGUGGGGAGCGAACAGGAUUAGAUACCCUGGUAGUCCACGCUGUAAACUAUGAUCACUCGCUGUUGGCGAUACAUUGUCAGCGGCUGAGCGAAAGCAUUAAGUGAUCCACCUGGGGAGUACGGCCGCAAGGUUGAAACUCAAAAGGAAUUGGACGGGGGCCCGCACAAGCGGUGGAACAUGUGGUUUAAUUCGAUGAUACGCGAGGAACCUUACCUGGGCUUAAAUGCAGAACGACGUACCGGGAAACUGG
RNAcentral lists this ribosomal RNA (689 nucleotides) under uncultured organism. Its description in RNAcentral is "bacterial SSU rRNA". It matches the Rfam family "Bacterial small subunit ribosomal RNA", at positions 340 to 1010 of the family's 1533-position model. The record is from RNAcentral.